AACACAUGCAAGUCGGACGCUUGCCCGGUUUCGGCCGGGCAGGAGUGGCGCACGGGUGAGUAGCGCGUGGGAACCUGCCCUGUUGUGGGGGAUAACCGAGGGAAACUUCGGCUAAUACCGCAUGCGCCCCCGGACUUGAUCCGGGGGGAAAGAUUUAUCGCAGCAGGAGGGGCCCGCGUCGGAUUAGCUGGUUGGUGGGGUAACGGCCUACCAAGGCGAUGAUCCGUAGCUGGUCUGAGAGGAUGAUCAGCCACACUGGGACUGAGACACGGCCCAGACUCCUACGGGAGGCAGCAGUGGGGAAUAUUGGACAAUGGGCGCAAGCCUGAUCCAGCAAUACCGCGUGAGUGAUGAAGGCCUUCGGGUUGUAAAGCUCUUUCGCCCGCGACGAUGAUGACGGUAGCGGGAGAAGAAACCCCGGCUAACUUCGUGCCAGCAGCCGCGGUAGUACGAAGGGGGCGAGCGUUGUUCGGAUCUACUGGGCGUAAAGGGCGCGUAGGCGGCCCUCU
RNAcentral lists this ribosomal RNA (509 nucleotides) under uncultured bacterium. Its description in RNAcentral is "bacterial SSU rRNA". It matches the Rfam family "Bacterial small subunit ribosomal RNA", at positions 50 to 584 of the family's 1533-position model. The record is from RNAcentral.